Molecule: ribosomal RNA, 334 nt
Filed under: uncultured eukaryote
Lineage: Eukaryota
Description: partial 18S ribosomal RNA
Rfam family: Eukaryotic small subunit ribosomal RNA
Source: RNAcentral
CCCUUAGAUGUCCGGGGCCGCACGCGCGCUACACUGAAGGAAUCAGCGUGGCUUUCUCCCUGACCCGAAAGGGUUGGGAAACCCGUUGAAUCUCCUUCGUGAUAGGGAUUGGGGCUUGAAAUUGUUCCCCAUGAACGAGGAAUUCCCAGUAAGCGCGAGUCAUAAGCUCGCGUUGAUUACGUCACUGCCCUUUGUACACACCGCCCGUCGCUACUACCGAUUGAACGGUUUAGUGAGGGCCUCGGAUUGGUCUCGGCCCGCUCUUUACCGGGCGGCGCCGUUGGUCGAGAAGACGCUCGAACUUGAUCGUUUAGAGGAAGUAAAAGUCGUAACA